UGUUAUAAAAAAUGUAAAUUAAUAAAAAUAGAGUAGUAUUAGUUAUAUUCUUAAAACUUAAUAAAUUUGGCGGUGUUUUAAUCUAUUCAGAGGAACUUGUUUUAUAAUUGAUAAUCCUCAUUAUAUCUUACUUAAUUUAUUAAUUUGUAUACCAUCGUCAUAAGAAUCUCUUAAAAAAGAAAUAAUUUUCUUGAUAAUUUAUUAUUUAAAAUGUCAGAUCAAGGUGCAGUUUAUAAUUAAGAAAAAAUGAGUUACAAUAAAUUUAUUUAUAUGGAUUUUAAAUUUAAAAAUUUAAUUGAAAGUGGAUUUGAUAGUAAAAUAAAUUAAAGAGUUUAUUUGAUUUUAGUUCUAAAAUAUGCACAAAUCGCCCG
This 371-nucleotide ribosomal RNA is filed under the name Brevicornu serenum. RNAcentral describes it as "partial 12S ribosomal RNA". The record is from RNAcentral. Lineage: Eukaryota; Metazoa; Arthropoda; Insecta; Diptera; Mycetophilidae.